CCCUUUUCCACCUUUUAUUUGGUUCAAAGUAAAACUGUCUGUUUUAACAAGCCCCCCCUUCUAUUGGUCCAAUGUUGCUCGGGCGGUUGUUUGGCCGCCUACGGGCUCUGCCAUAGGCGGUGCAGGACGACGGGGCGCGGCGGGGGACACGGCGGCCGCCGCGGGGCUCGAUCGGGCAACGGCGGCGGCGGCGGCGGCGGCGGCGGCGGCGGCGGCGACGGCGGCGGCGGCGGCAGCAGCAGCAGCAGCAGCAGCAGCGACGACGGGUCUUCCUCCUCCUCCAGCCCCUUGCCCUCUUUUCCUUUCUCCUUUCCGGCCGGAUCUCGUCCACUUCCCCUAACAGCGGCCCCAAUCCUACGAACCGAAUUCAAAG
Molecule: long non-coding RNA, 373 nt
Filed under: Oryctolagus cuniculus (rabbit)
Lineage: Eukaryota; Metazoa; Chordata; Mammalia; Lagomorpha; Leporidae
Description: lncRNA (ENSOCUG00000024683.2)
Source: RNAcentral